AUUGAACGCUGGCGGCGUGCUUAACACAUGCAAGUCGAUCGGUAACAGGUGUAGCAAUACAUGCUGACGAGAGGCGGACGGGUGAGUAAUGCUUGGGAAUCUGCCUAUUAGUGGGGGACAACCCGGGGAAACUCGGGCUAAUACCGCAUACGCUCUACGGAGGAAAGCCGGGGACCGCAAGGCCUGGCGCUAAUAGAUGAGCCCAAGUCGGAUUAGCUAGUUGGUAGGAACGCCUACCAAGGCGACAAUCCGUAGCUGGUCUGAGAGAACGACCAGCCACACCGGAACUGAGACACGGUCCGGACUCCGUACGGGAGGCAGCAGUGGGGAA
RNAcentral lists this ribosomal RNA (331 nucleotides) under uncultured bacterium. RNAcentral describes it as "bacterial SSU rRNA". It matches the Rfam family "Bacterial small subunit ribosomal RNA", at positions 30 to 361 of the family's 1533-position model. The record is from RNAcentral.